Saccostrea cuccullata (small rock oyster) is the source of this 249-nucleotide long non-coding RNA. RefSeq lists it as uncharacterized. The transcript has 3 exons. NCBI's taxonomy places the organism in Eukaryota, Metazoa, Mollusca, Bivalvia, Ostreida, Ostreidae. The record is from RefSeq and is a predicted model, not a curated record.
AACAUCCGGUUUGAAUACAUGUGUUUUCUGACUUUUCGGAUAGCCAACUCUUGUUUUUUGGAACUUACGACUUAUGGCAAGAGAGAAGAAAACUGUGUGACGUUAAAAGAAACCAGUGAGAUAAAAUCAUAGAAAAUGUAUGAUGAUUCAGGAUGUGGUCAUUUGUGACAUUAAAACAGGAAUUGUCAUCACCAAUAGACAAAUUUCACAUUCCUAAGAGUUUUCUCCAAUUGUUGGCGUAUUGCUCAU